GACGAACGCUGGCGGCGUGCCUAAUACAUGCAAGUAGAACGCUGAAGGAGGAGCUUGCCUCUCUGGAUGAGUUGCGAACGGGUGAGUAACGCGUAGGUAACCUGCCUGGUAGCGGGGGAUAACUAUUGGAAACGAUAGCUAAUACCGCAUAAUAGUAGAUGUUGCAUGACAUUUGCUUAAAAGGUGCAAUUGCAUCACUACCAGAUGGACCUGCGUUGUAUUAGCUAGUUGGUGGGGUAACGGCUCACCAAGGCGACGAUACAUAGCCGACCUGAGAGGGGGAUCGGCCACACUGGGACUGAGACACGGCCCAGACUCCUACGGGAGGCAGCAGUAGGGAAUCUUCGGCAAUGGACGGAAGUCUGACCGAGCAACGCCGCGUGAGUGAAGAAGGUUUUCGGAUCGUAAAGCUCUGUUGUAAGAGAAGAACGAGUGUGAGAGUGGAAAGUUCACACUGUGACGGUAUCUUACCAGAAAGGGACGGCUAACUACGUG
This 495-nucleotide ribosomal RNA is filed under the name uncultured bacterium. Its description in RNAcentral is "partial 16S ribosomal RNA". It matches the Rfam family "Bacterial small subunit ribosomal RNA", at positions 28 to 507 of the family's 1533-position model. The record is from RNAcentral.